RNAcentral lists this ribosomal RNA (381 nucleotides) under uncultured bacterium. Its description in RNAcentral is "bacterial SSU rRNA". It matches the Rfam family "Bacterial small subunit ribosomal RNA", at positions 975 to 1355 of the family's 1533-position model. The record is from RNAcentral.
CAAGUCUUGACAUCCCACUGACGUACCAGUAAUGUGGUAUUUCCUUCGGGACAGUGGUGACAGGUGGUGCAUGGUUGUCGUCAGCUCGUGUCGUGAGAUGUUGGGUUAAGUCCCGCAACGAGCGCAACCCUUAUCCUUAGUAGCCAGCAGGUGAAGCUGGGCACUCUAGGGAGACUGCCAGGGAUAACCUGGAGGAAGGUGGGGAUGACGUCAAAUCAUCAUGCCCCUUAUGACUUGGGCUACACACGUGCUACAAUGGCGUAAACAAAGUGAAGCGAAACCGUGAGGUCAAGCAAAUCACAAAAAUAACGUCUCAGUUCGGAUUGUAGUCUGCAACUCGACUACAUGAAGCUGGAAUCGCUAGUAAUCGCAGAUCAGAAU